This 536-nucleotide long non-coding RNA is filed under the name Manihot esculenta (cassava). RNAcentral's name for it is "long non-coding RNA (MESC_LNC006650)". Lineage: Eukaryota; Viridiplantae; Streptophyta; Magnoliopsida; Malpighiales; Euphorbiaceae. The record is from RNAcentral.
GCUUAUGUUUUAAUAUUAUGUGUUAUUUUAGUGUGUGAUUGGGCUUGGACCUUAUGUGUUUAAGUCAGGUCCAAGAAGAGUGUCUUAGGGUUUUAUUUGUUUUUCUCCUUACUAUAUAAGGAUAAGAAACAAUUGUAAGAGGCAGCUUUUAAUCAAAAUUUCAGAAUUAUUUUCAUGCCUUUGGCGUGUAUUGCUUUGAGUGAGAGUGAGGAUUUGCUUUCAUCAAUUGCACCAUGAAUCUUGGCUAACUUAUCAACUAUUCGUUGUGGCGUUUGUCAGAUUCUCAUCUAAAUCCUUCGAUCAUUGGUGUUUCAGCUUCUCUAAGUUUGGGGUGCCAUAGGAGGUGGGUUUAUCAAAUCUUUGGAUUCCAUAUCUACUUGUGCGUAUAGGAUUGAAGCUUGUGCCAUAGGGUUCCGCGUCAGUUGGUAUCAGAGCCAAAGUGAGGUAAAUUCUUAUUUAUCUCAGGAUCUAGAGUUAUUUUUUUGAGUUUUCUUUUCUUCGUUAUUGAUUUCGGUGAAAGCUUUUGUAUUCAUGGC